UACGAAGGGGGCUAGCGUUGUUCGGAAUUACUGGGCGUAAAGCGUGCGCAGGCGGCCAUCCAAGUCAGUGGUGAAAGCCCGGGGCUCAACCCCGGGAGGCGGGUGGAUACUGUCUAGCUCGAGUCCGGAAGAGGAGUGUGGAAUUCCUGGUGUAGCGGUGAAAUGCGCAGAUAUCAGGAGGAACACCAAUGGCGAAGGCAGCACUCUGGGACGUGACUGACGCUGAGACGCGAAAGCGUGGGGAGCAAACAGG
This 253-nucleotide ribosomal RNA is filed under the name uncultured bacterium. Its description in RNAcentral is "partial 16S ribosomal RNA". It matches the Rfam family "Bacterial small subunit ribosomal RNA", at positions 524 to 776 of the family's 1533-position model. The record is from RNAcentral.